This 96-nucleotide ribosomal RNA is filed under the name Salmonella enterica subsp. enterica serovar Typhimurium str. TN061786. Lineage: Bacteria; Pseudomonadati; Pseudomonadota; Gammaproteobacteria; Enterobacterales; Enterobacteriaceae. The record is from RNAcentral.
UUUGCCUGGCGGCACUAGCGCGGUGGUCCCACCUGACCCCAUGCCGAACUCAGAAGUGAAACGCCGUAGCGCCGAUGGUAGUGUGGGGUCUCCCCA